This 423-nucleotide ribosomal RNA is filed under the name uncultured bacterium. RNAcentral's name for it is "bacterial SSU rRNA". It matches the Rfam family "Bacterial small subunit ribosomal RNA", at positions 11 to 420 of the family's 1533-position model. The record is from RNAcentral.
GUUUGAUCCUGGACUCAGAGCGAACGCUGGCGGCGUGCUUAACACAUGCAAGUCGAACGUGAAAUGUAGCAAUACAGAGUAAAGUGGCGUACGGGUGAGUAACACGUGGGUAAUCUACCUUAGAGUCUGGAAUAACAUGCCGAAAGGCGUGCUAAUACUGGAUAGUUCAAGCGAAAUGUAGAGUUUCGAUUGGGGAAAGGGAGCCGGUAACGGCCUUUUGCUUUAAGAUGAGCCCGCGUCUGAUUAGCUAGUUGGUGAGGUAAUGGCUCACCAAGGCGAUGAUCAGUAGCUGGUCUGAGAGGAUGAUCAGCCACACUGGAACUGAAACACGGUCCAGACUCCUACGGGAGGCAGCAGUGGGGAAUCUUGCGCAAUGGACGAAAGUCUGACGCAGCCACGCCGCGUGAGUGAAGAAGGCCUCGG